This 198-nucleotide ribosomal RNA is filed under the name uncultured bacterium. RNAcentral's name for it is "partial 16S ribosomal RNA". It matches the Rfam family "Bacterial small subunit ribosomal RNA", at positions 328 to 539 of the family's 1533-position model. The record is from RNAcentral.
ACGCUCGACACCUACUGGAGGCAGCAGUGGGGAAUAUUGCACAAUGGGGGAAACCCUGAUGCAGCGAUGCCGCGUGAAGGAAGAAGUAUCUCGGUAUGUAAACUUCUAUCAGCAGGGAAGAAAAUGACGGUACCUGACUAAGAAGCCCCGGCUAACUACGUGCCAGUAGCCGCGGUAAUCUGAGCGGGCUGGCAAGGC